CCUGGUCACUGACACUCCUGUUUUUUUAUCAUUCUUCCCCAUAAAUUAGACAUAAGUGUGUGUAAAAUUAACUGUAUUCAAUACCAGUGGGUAUUCCUAGUUCUUUGCUGCCCCGACCAAAUCCUUUAACAACUUUUCCUUCUGCAAAAUGUGGUAGAAUUUGCUCCAUUUUUAUAUAACCUUAAAAUGUAAGAAUCGUCAUAUGUUCUCGUUAAUGAACUUCCGGUAAAUU
RNAcentral lists this long non-coding RNA (232 nucleotides) under Mytilus galloprovincialis (Mediterranean mussel). Lineage: Eukaryota; Metazoa; Mollusca; Bivalvia; Mytilida; Mytilidae. The record is from RNAcentral.